GACGAACGCUGGCGGCGUGCUUAACACAUGCAAGUCGAACGAUGAAGCCGGAGCUUGCUCCGGUGGAUUAGUGGCGAACGGGUGAGUAACACGUGAGCAAUCUGCCCUUGACUCUGGGAUAACUGCGGGAAACUGUAGCUAAUACCGGAUACGACACCUUGGGGCAUCCCAGGGUGUGGAAAGAAUUUCGGUCAAGGAUGAGCUCGCGGCCUAUCAGCUAGUUGGUGAGGUAAUGGCUCACCAAGGCGACGACGGGUAGCCGGCCUGAGGGGGUGACCGGCCACACUGGAACUGAGACACGGUCCAGACUCCUACGGGAGGCAGCAGUGGGGAAUAUUGCACAAUGGGCGAAAGCCUGAUGCAGCAACGCCGCGUGAGGGAUGAAGGCCUUCGGGUUGUAAACCUCUUUUAGCAGGGAAGAAGCGAAAGUGACGGUACCUGCAGAAAAAGCACCGGCUAACUACGUGCCAGCAGCCGCCGCCG
This 483-nucleotide ribosomal RNA is filed under the name uncultured bacterium. Its description in RNAcentral is "partial 16S ribosomal RNA". It matches the Rfam family "Bacterial small subunit ribosomal RNA", at positions 28 to 523 of the family's 1533-position model. The record is from RNAcentral.